Molecule: long non-coding RNA, 2084 nt
Organism: Vespula pensylvanica (western yellowjacket)
Lineage: Eukaryota; Metazoa; Arthropoda; Insecta; Hymenoptera; Vespidae
Exons: 3
Source: RefSeq, a predicted model, not a curated record
GAUAAGUACAGAUUCAAGAAAAAGGGAAAUGAUGGACGUAUUCAAUAAAUUCUUUGAUAAUCGAAAACUAAAAUAUGACAGAAAUAUUGUAGAAUAUAUAAAAAUAGCGAUAAAAAGGAAACCUCAAAGUCUAAUAAUCCGAAGCAUUAUCCUAAUUACUGAAGUCUUUGAAUGUUCGGUCGGACAUACAUAUCUCUAUUGAUAAGCACGUCGAACGUCUCCAUCUCUUUCUCUUUGCACUGUUAAUUGGCAGCGAUGAAGAGCACAGACUCCUUCGUUUCUCCGUAUAUCCGUCGUCAUUGAAAAGAAACGAGGUCUUUGGCUGGUGCCGUCAGCAUCGAUGCUACUGCUGCUGCAGUGGGUUUCAAGUUUCGAGGUAGGCCGAGUGUCGACCAGGUGGAUGACCGCAGGUCGUUCGCAAGGGUUGAUGACUCGGCCGAAGGAAAAAUCCGGAAACGAGGGUGGAAGGCCCGGCAUAGUCGGCCGCCAUGGGUAAGUGCGUACGAGAGAGAAUGCGAGAGAAAAUAUACGUAUACGUAUAUAGGCAGAUACGUGUAUAUACCAAGACACGAGUUGAUGCAAACGUUGGGAGACUCUCGUAGAGUCGCCUCGAUCGGCGCUGCCUCCGCAUGGCACGCCAGAAAGACUGAGAGAGAAAGAUAGAGAACAGUUUUGCUGUCUCUUUUCUUCUCUCGUUACUCGUUUCGUCUCUCUCGGUCGGGCGAGUGCUCGGUCGGUCGGUCGGUCGGUCGGUCGCGCGUUUGCUAGCUACCUAGCUAGCUAGCUAGCUCGCUUUCUUUCAUCCCCCCAGAAGGAUGAUCCUCGACGGGGUGGAGCCACCCACGCCCACGCAGGCCAAGCAUAGGCCUACCCCAACGUAACUCGCAGAAGGCGAACCACGUGUGCAACGCUUUUCAUGGUUAGACGAGCUCUCGAUGUCAUCGUUGCCGACGACAGUGACGACGAUGAAGGAGUUGACCUGAUGGAUAAGGAGGAGGUGGGAAUAAGGUCAGGUCUAGUGGACACGGAGAUCGUGUCUAGCUUUGUGCUUCGAGUUUGAGGUGUCUCCGUUAAUCUAUGGGAGAUGUAUGAUGGAUGGUAGCUUUUUUAGUUUGAGACGAAUUGUUUUGACAAUGAACUACGUUUAUGAAUUAAUUAAAGAUAUUAGCUUAUCAAUUGAGUUUCUACUUCAAGUAAAGCGUUAAGAAAAAUAUUCAAUUGAUUGUAUUUGAUCGAUUAAAUACCAACUAUAAACAUUGAAUAUAUUAUCAAUUAUCGCGACUAUGACUUUAUAAUUUUCUAAGAACUCUAUAAUCAAUAGAUAAACUAUAAAACUGUUUGAGAAAUAAUCGAUUAAUAAUGAUCAAUCAAUUCGAUGAAUUAUAUCAGAAAAGAUAAAUACAAAACCCAAGACUUGAAUAUUUCCCCAGACAGAGAAAACUAAUCGAAUUAAUAACGCCAUAUUAAACGCAGGAAAAGAGUUGAAGUUUGAAAAGCAUGUAAAAGGACAUAACGCACGGGGUCGUGCCACCUGUCUUUCGAAGUACUCUACUCGGUACGCUUCUAGCAUAAUGGAGAAAGCAAGAGAGAGGGAGGGAAAGAGAGAGGGGAGAGAGAGAGAAAGGAGCAAGACAGGCUCUCGUCGUACAAUGCCGGUUGGUAUCGAGUCCGAGAGACGAAGAGAAGAGCCGACAGGAAAUGCGAAGGGGCAAGGAGGACGUAUAGAAGAAGAAGAAGAAGAAGAAGAAGAAGCACAUCAUGGCCCAAGCUACUCCGCGGUAUUCCGCGAAGGCCGAUCUUCGAAAGACGAAGGGAGUAACGUGCUCGUAGGAUCGCAGACUUACGUACGAGUUUCAUUGAAAUUCGCAUGAUGCCUCGAAAACGAGAGAAGGCGUGGCUCGAACUAUCUUUUCCGACGCGAUGUCUCUUACACUCUUAAACGUUCCUUGCGCAUUGCAUUUUCUCUUUCUAUUAGAAUAUUAAGCCUAUCAAAAAGGUUUACUUUUUCAACGAAAGGAAUUUCAAAGUUUUCACAAAAAUACGAAGGAAACUUUUAAUUGCAUUAGCAAAAAUAGCUAAAAUAU